GUACCAUCAGCGGCAGUAAUAGGAAGGGUACGANCGUUAAUGGGAAUUAGAGGGAGUAAAGNGCGCGUAGGUGUUUGGUAAGAUGGAUGAGANAUCUCGAGGCUCACCGUGGGAACUGCAUCCAUAGCUNCUUGACUAGAGUACGGUAGAGGGUGGUGGAAUAUCUCUGUGUAUCGGUGAGAUGAGUAGAUAUAGGAAGGAACGCCAGUGGCGAAGGNNUCCACUUGGAUUGAUACUGCCACUGAGGUGCGAUAGCGGGGGGAGCAAACAGAAUUAGAUACCUUGGUAGUCCGCGCUGUAACCGAUGUCGACUAACCGUUGGGAUCCUUGAGAUAUUAGUGGCGCAUCUACCGUGAUAAGUUGACCCCGUGGGGAGUGCGGCCGCAAGGUUAAAACUCAAAAGAUUUGAUGGGGGCCCGCACAAGCGGUGGAGCAUGUGGUUUAAUUAGAAGCAACGCGAAGACCCUUACCUGUCCUUGACAUGUCCGGAAUCUUGCAGAGAUGCGAGGGUGCUUUCGGGAAUCGGAACUCAGGUCAUGCAUGGUCUGUNCGUCAGCUCGUGUCGUGAGAUGUUGGGUUAAGUCCCGUACCGAGCGCAACCUUUGUCCUUAGUUCCCAGCAGGUUAUGGUGGGCACUCUAAGGAGACUACCGGUGACAACCCGGAGGAAGGUGGGGAUGACGUCAAUUCAUCAUGGCCCUUACGGCAAGGGCUACACACGUCAUACAAUGGUCGGUACAGAGGGUUGCCAAGCCGCGAGGUGGAGCUAAUCCCAUAAAACCGAUCGUAGUCCGGAUCGCAGUCUGCAACUCGACUGCGUGAAGUCGGAAUCGCUAGUAAUCGUGAAUCAGAAUGUCACGGUGAAUACGUUCCCGGGCCUUGUACACACCGCCCGUCACACCAUGGGAGUG
This 910-nucleotide ribosomal RNA is filed under the name Pseudomonas nitroreducens. RNAcentral describes it as "bacterial SSU rRNA". It matches the Rfam family "Bacterial small subunit ribosomal RNA", at positions 505 to 1412 of the family's 1533-position model. Lineage: Bacteria; Pseudomonadati; Pseudomonadota; Gammaproteobacteria; Pseudomonadales; Pseudomonadaceae. The record is from RNAcentral.